This 1672-nucleotide ribosomal RNA is filed under the name Traccatichthys taeniatus. RNAcentral's name for it is "16S rRNA". It matches the Rfam family "Bacterial large subunit ribosomal RNA". The record is from RNAcentral. Lineage: Eukaryota; Metazoa; Chordata; Actinopteri; Cypriniformes; Nemacheilidae.
GCCAAACAGCUAGCUUAUCACCAAACUAAUUUAAUAACAUAAAUAACACAACAUGAAAACAAAUAAUAAAAUAAACCAUUCUUCCACCUUAGUACGGGCGACGGAAAAGGUAACCUUAAGCGAUAGAGAAAGUACCGCAAGGGAAAGCUGAAAGAGUAAUGAAACAAUCCAUAAAAGCACAAAAAAGCAGAGCCUAGGCCUCGUACCUUUUGCAUCAUGAUUUAGCCAGUAUAACACAAGCAAAGCGACCUUUAGUUUGAAACCCCGAAACCAAGUGAGCUACCCCAGGACAGCCUUAAUGGGCCAACCCGUCUCUGUGGCAAAAGAGUGGGAAGAGCCUCGGGUAGAGGUGAUAGACCUACCGAACUUGGUGAUAGCUGGUUGCCUGAGAAAUGAAUAGAAGUUCAGCCUCGUACCCCCUUUAAUCAAUUAAGAAAUAUCUAAACAAGUAAUAAGAGAAAUACGAGAGUUAGUUUAAGGGGGUACAGCCCCUUAAACAAAGGACACAACCUUAAGCAGAAGGAUAAGGAUCAUACUUUCUAAAACCCGUCGUCUCAGUGGGCCUAAAAGCAGCCAUCUGAACAGAAAGCGUUAAAGCUCAAACGACAUAAAAUUUAUUAUUCUGAUAAAUAACCCAAAUCCUCUAACAAUAUCAGGCCAUUUCAUAAAAUAUGAAAGAGACUAUGCUAAAAUGAGUAACAAGAGAAUUCUCUCCACGCACAAGUGUAAACCAGAUCGGACCAACCACUGGAAAUUAACGAACCCAAAAAAAGAGGGUAGUGUUAAAAGCAAAAAACCCAAGAAAAACCAACAACACCUGACUCGUUAAACCCACACUGGAGUGCCACAACGGAAAGACUAAAAGAAAGGGAAGGAACUCGGCAAACACAAGCCUCGCCUGUUUACCAAAAACAUCGCCUCCUGCAAACCCCUAAGUAUAGGAGGUCCAGCCUGCCCAGUGACCACAAGUUCAACGGCCGCGGUAUUUUGACCGUGCAAAGGUAGCGCAAUCACUUGUCUUUUAAAUGAAGACCUGUAUGAAUGGCCAAACGAGGGCUUAACUGUCUCCCCUUUUAAGUCAGUGAAAUUGAUCUACCCGUGCAGAAGCGGGUAUAAAAAUACAAGACGAGAAGACCCUUUGGAGCUUAAGGUACAAACCCAUCUACGUCAAACAACCUGCUUAAAAGAAUUAAACCUAGUAGAAAAUGGAGUUUUACCUUCGGUUGGGGCGACCAUGGAGAACAAAAAAUCCUCCAAGUGGACCGGGGCCAAACCCUAAAACUAAGAAAGACAUUUCUAAGUCACAAAAAUCUUUGACCAGCUAUGAUCCGGCCUAAAGGCCGAUCAACGAACCAAGUUACCCUAGGGAUAACAGCGCAAUCCCCUCCAAGAGUCCAUAUCGACGAGAGGGUUUACGACCUCGAUGUUGGAUCAGGACAUCCUAAUGGUGCAGCCGCUAUUAAGGGUUCGUUUGUUCAACGAUUAAAGUCCUACGUGAUCUGAGUUCAGACCGGAGCAAUCCAGGUCAGUUUCUAUCUGUAACGUUAUUUUUCCUAGUACGAAAGGACCGGAAAAAAGAGGCCUAUACCAAAAGCACGCCUCACCCUUAAUUAAUGAAGACAACUAAAUUAAAUAAAAGGAGAACCCAAAACACAAGCCAAAAUAAGGCCAC